This 343-nucleotide ribosomal RNA is filed under the name Firmicutes bacterium oral taxon C68. RNAcentral's name for it is "bacterial SSU rRNA". It matches the Rfam family "Bacterial small subunit ribosomal RNA", at positions 28 to 352 of the family's 1533-position model. Lineage: Bacteria; Bacillati; Bacillota. The record is from RNAcentral.
GACGAACGCUGGCGGCGUGCCUAAUACAUGUAAGUGGGACGCAAGAGAACACACUGUGCUUGCACACCGUGUUUUCUUGAGUCGCGAACGGGUGAGUAACGCGUAGGUAACCUGCCUAUUAGCGGGGGAUAACUAUUGGAAACGAUAGCUAAUACCGCAUAAUAUUAAUUAUUGCAUGAUAAUUGAUUGAAAGAUGCAAGCGCAUCACUAGUAGAUGGACCUGCGUUGUAUUAGCUAGUUGGUAAGGUAAGAGCUUACCAAGGCGACGAUACAUAGCCGACCUGAGAGGGUGAUCGGCCACACUGGGACUGAGACACGGCCCAGACUCCGUACGGGAGGCAGC